Molecule: ribosomal RNA, 400 nt
Filed under: uncultured bacterium
Lineage: Bacteria
Description: bacterial SSU rRNA
Rfam family: Bacterial small subunit ribosomal RNA
Source: RNAcentral
UGAGGAAUAUUGGACAAUGGAUGAAAAUCUGAUCCAGCCAUGCCGCGUGCAGGAAGGCGGCCCUAUGGGUUGUAAACUGCUUUUGUACGGGAGCAAUAAGGUCUACGAGUAGAUUGAUGAGAGUACUGUACGAAUAAGCAUCGGCUAACUCCGUGCCAGCAGCCGCGGUAAUACGGAGGAUGCGAGCGUUAUCCGGAUUUAUUGGGUUUAAAGGGUGCGUAGGCUGUUAUAUAAGUCAGUGGUAAAAGGUACAGGCUUAACUUGUAUAGGCCAUUGAAACUGUAUAGCUAGGAUAUGGAUGAAGUGUGCGGAAUGUGUGGUGUAGCGGUGAAAUGCAUAGAUAUCACACAGAACACCGAUAGCGAAGGCAGCACACUAAGGCAAUAUUGACGCUGAGGCA